Molecule: ribosomal RNA, 515 nt
Filed under: uncultured bacterium
Lineage: Bacteria
Description: bacterial SSU rRNA
Rfam family: Bacterial small subunit ribosomal RNA
Source: RNAcentral
GAUCCUGGCUCAGGAUGAACGCUAGCUACAGGCUUAACACAUGCAAGUCGAGGGGCAGCAUGGUCUUAGCUUGCUAAGACUGAUGGCGACCGGCGCACGGGUGAGUAACGCGUAUCCAACCUUCCCCAUAGUAGGGGAUAGCCCGGCGAAAGUCGGAUUAAUACCCUAUGUUAUUCGAUGCAGACAUCUAAGUUGAAUCAAAGGUUUACCGCUAUGGGAUGGGGGAUGCGUCUGAUUAGGUUGCAGGCGGGGUAACGGCCCACCUGGCCCACGAUCAGUAGGGGUUCUGAGAGGAAGGUCCCCCACAUUGGAACUGAGACACGGUCCAAACUCCUACGGGAGGCAGCAGUGAGGAAUAUUGGUCAAUGGACGAGAGCCUGAACCAGCCAAGUAGCGUGCAGGAUGACGGCCCUAUGGGUUGUAAACUGCUUUUAUGCGGGGAUAAAGUGAGGGACGUGUCCCUUUUUGUAGGUACCGCAUGAAUAAGGACCGGCUAAUUCCGUGCCAGCAGCCGC